Xenia sp. Carnegie-2017 is the source of this 200-nucleotide long non-coding RNA. RefSeq lists it as uncharacterized. NCBI's taxonomy places the organism in Eukaryota, Metazoa, Cnidaria, Anthozoa, Malacalcyonacea, Xeniidae. The transcript has 3 exons. The record is from RefSeq and is a predicted model, not a curated record.
CACAUAAUAAUUCGUUUAGAGGAAAGAGUUAAUCAGCAAAAAUGAAAGUUUGAAUGCAUACAAAAUGAGAAAGCGUCUAGUAAAGCGCUGUCCCAGUCUAAUCGAAUCGGUCCUCUUGUUUUAUUAUAUUUGGAUGGGAACGGAAAUGUUCGAACAGCAGGAAGUCCUGGAUUGCGCGAAGAUGUGUUGGACGUUGCCAG